This is a long non-coding RNA of Prosopis cineraria, 1459 nucleotides long. RefSeq lists it as uncharacterized. The record is from RefSeq and is a predicted model, not a curated record. The transcript has 7 exons. Lineage: Eukaryota; Viridiplantae; Streptophyta; Magnoliopsida; Fabales; Fabaceae.
CCACAAUGUCCUCAUAGUCUUCUGGGUUUAUCAACAAAAAAUGGUGAUUCCUCUCAUGAGGACAAUCCGAUCUCCGUCAAGCCCACAAGCUUGCAAGGGUUCCCCCAUGUGCGAGCGUCAAAUCUCUACGACGUGAUCACCGAAGGUGGUUGGAGUGUCAUCGGCGGCAACUGGUUUUACUGCAGAAAUUUUGGGGAUCGGAGAACUGGAUUGAGUCGUGCUAGAAAUUUGUGGUGUCUUUGUACUGUUCAGAAUUCCUUCUUGAUUCGUAGGGGAAUACAGAAGAUCUUUGUCUUCUUUCACCAAGAUAAUUGGAUCAUCUUGCUAGAGGCCAUGAGUGACCAACCAUGCCACAAUGGGCAGCUUCUGAAGAAUGUCUCUAACAAGUGAAUAACGAGGGAAUAAUUUAUACAAUCUAGAGGGCGGACAGGAUCUUCCUAUAAAUACUGCAAUUGAGGAAAACUAUUUCAAACCCUUCCUCAUGGAAAUAACUCAGAUAUGGGUCUAUCUUUGAGGUUUUUAUAUUGUAGAUUCAUUAAGUUCUACAAUGCGUGAUUAUACGAUGUUUUGGAAUUCUAAGUUGGAUGCUGUUAAAAAUUUUAAUAUUGAUGUGAAAGAAGAUUAGUAUAUUUAAGUUUGUCCUGAUUUAGCUGAUGCCUUGAGAAGACAUGAUGAUGGUUAGAAUCAAGAAUGACUUUUAUGGGAGUGUUUGAUCUUUAGAUCAGAUGGCACCAUUCUUCUCUACUUCAGACUGUCAACUGAAUUUGGAACCAAACCACCUGUGGGCUAAAAUCUUAAAGGGGGUUUCAUUUCCGAAGAGUGGUUUUGAUGAGGCUUAAAAAAAUGGAGUAGGCCGUCCCGGAUUUGGUCUAGCAUUAUUGAGGGAAGAAGAGUGUUAUAGAAGGAAAAUAAGAAGUCAAACCCAUCAAUUUUAAACUAAAUAGAUUUGGAAAAUUCGUAUUUGUCGACGAAGAACACUAAUUCCGCAAAGGACCACCCGCUGCAGACUGAGCUAGAUCAUGCGAAAACAUGAAUGAUAUUUGUAAGAGAAAAUUGCUGAUCCAGUGGAUUUGACCAAUUACGAAAAACCGAAUCAAUCAACUUCUGAAGGAAGAGUGUUAGAAGGCAAUGUUAUUCUCAGCAUUGGUAAUGGAAAGGCCACUCGUUUUUGGAAAGAUCCUCGGCAGCCAACUCAACUGGCAACAUGGGUAGACGCAAAGGCACAUAAGAGUAUGAGGUUACAAGUUUGAACCUAGUUGAGUGAAGGUAAAAAUAUUUGACAUGGCAGUGACAAAUGACAUAGCGGUGAGGUGGCACUGGUUCACUGAGUGACUAGGUGGUGGUGAGAUGGCAUUGGUCCACCAGGUGACAUGGCAAUGAUAUUUUGGUCCAUCUAAUAAAUUUAUGAUGGAAUUAGCAAUGGAAUAAGCCCGUUGAAAAGUUAGCGACGGAAUUCAUA